Molecule: unclassified non-coding RNA, 1621 nt
Filed under: uncultured fungus
Lineage: Eukaryota; Fungi
Description: sequence contains 18S rRNA gene, ITS1, 5.8S rRNA gene, ITS2, 28S rRNA gene
Rfam family: Eukaryotic large subunit ribosomal RNA (bases 675-1621)
Source: RNAcentral
GGAAGGAUCAUUAAAAAGUAAGGGCCACAGGGGCCGGCUAAAAACCUGAACAAACCUCCCUUACUGGAAGCACCCCCGGCUGUCCAUGGAUCUACAUCAUGAGAUCCUCAGUGCGGACAGACGCGGGUGCCGAAAGUUAAAACCCCAUGUGAAAACCCUUUGUUGCUUCGGCAGCACCUCCCGGCCCCUGGCCGUGGGGAUCAGCCUGCCGGCGGCAUGCUUUGAAACGCUUCAGUGAAAGGAAGCAUUGACAAUGUCUGAGAGCGCAGUCGAAUGAUACAUAAAACUUUCAACAACGGAUCUCUUGGUUCCCGCAUCGAUGAAGAACGCAGCGAAACGCGAUAGUUAAUGUGAAUUGCAGAAUUCAGUGAAUCAUCGAGUCUUUGAACGCACAUUGCGCCUUUUGGUAUUCCGAGAGGCACGUCUGUUUGAGCGUCAGUAAAACCCUUCCGGCCCUCGGUUUUUUUUUAAACCGCGGGGAUACGGGCACGCUGGCGUAGGGGACGUUGGCCACCGCGCUUCGGUGCGGGACAUGGCCUUCCCCCGCUUAAACCUGUGGAAGCUAGCGGGCAUGGUCCCGGAUUGCGAACGACUCGUAAAACCUACCGUCGAGAGCAUCCGUGCCUGCCCCGCCUCCAAAACCAAGAGUGGGAGCACCCUCCCAUCUGAACUCUUGACCUCAAAUCAGACGAGGAUACCCGCUGAACUUAAGCAUAUCAAUAAGCGGAGGAAAAGAAACCAACAGGGAUUGCCUCAGUAGCGGCGAGUGAAGUGGCAAAAGCUCAGAUUUGAAAUCCGGCGCGGUCCCCGCACCCGAGUUGUAAUCUGGAGAGGAUGUUCCGGCAAGGUUGGCCGCCCAAGUUCCUUGGAACAGGACGUCUUAGAGGGUGAGAACCCCGUACCCGGCGGUUCGGCCGAGCCAUGUGGAACUCCUUCGACGAGUCGAGUUGUUUGGGAAUGCAGCUCAAACUGGGUGGUAAAUUCCAUCUAAAGCUAAAUAUCGGCGGGAGACCGAUAGCGCACAAGUAGAGUGAUCGAAAGAUGAAAAGCACUUUGAAAAGAGAGUUAAAAAGUACGUGAAAUUGUUGAAAGGGAAGCGCUUGCCAUCAGAACAGGUGCCGGUCGAUCAGCGUUCCUUUUGGUUCGUGCACUCGACCGGCCACCUUGCCAGCAUCGGUUGCUGCGGCGGGACAAAGACGGCGGGAAAGUGACUCCCCUCGGGGAGUGUUACAGCCCGCCGUGUAAUGCCGCCAGCGGCGACCGAGGACCGCGCUUCGUGCAAGGAUGCUGGCCUAAUGGUUGUAAGCGACCCGUCUUGAAACACGGACCAAGGAGUCUAACAUCUACGCGAGUGUUCGGGUGCACAAACCCGCACGCGGAAUGAAAGUGAACGGAGGUGAGAGCCUUUACCGGUGCAUCAUCGACCGAUCCUGAUGUCUUCGGAUGGAUUUGAGUAGGAGCGUAGCUGUUGGGACCCGAAAGAUGGUGAACUAUGCCUGAAUAGGGUGAAGCCAGAGGAAACUCUGGUGGAGGCUCGCAGCGGUUCUGACGUGCAAAUCGAUCGUCAAAUUUGGGUAUAGGGGCGAAAGACUAAUCGAACCAUCUAGUAGCUGGUUCCUGC